CUCCAACAAUGAGCCUUGUUCAUUCUUUCAGUAGCCAUGCACUCCUUUCUCCUCUCUGAUCUCUGGCCUGAUCCUCCUGCAUGCCAUCCCCAUGUCACAGUUGACCCUUUGCUCCCCCACCUGUCCUAAGAAUCUGAGGUCCUGUUCAUUUGUCAGCUCUCCAUCCUAAUACGCUGGACUGCAGCUUCUUAGAAGUCAGUAUUUCCAAAGAAGGAGGGCCUAUUACUGUUACUUCCAUAGCAGAUGGCUGCUAAUCCCCACAAGUAAACAAACAGAGAACACUCCCUACAACAAAACAAAAAUGACAACAGCAAUAUAAUGAAAACGACCCUCUGAGAAAUUUCUUUGCACAGGUUCUCAUCACUAUCAAGUGGAAUAACUGAAAUUCAAAAGGACUUCAACUCUUUCCACUCUGCUUUCACACCUCCACAAGAGAACAUUUGAUUUGGGCAGCCCUCCAUCUGCUGAAUCCCUUGAAUAGUAAUGAUGGUAUCAAGAAAUCAUAGGGAGCAAAAAAAGAAAUAUUGGACACACAGAAGGGGAAAAGUUGAACCAUGAUAAAAACAAAAAUAUUGUGCAUCAUCCUCUCCCAAGAAUGUUUCUAUUCCCUAUAGGGUCCCCCCUCACCUCACUGUCCAUAAUUCACUAAAAUUAUUCACCAGCAUUUAUUCUUCAACUGGAUAACAAGUUUAGUCCAAAGGAAUGCAUCUCUGACAGAGAUCCAUAAACUUCAUCUGAAAACGGCCACACAGUAAAUACUUUUGGCUUGCUGGGCCAUAUGGUCUCCUUUACAGCUAUUUAACUUCACUGAUAGAGCCCAAAAGCAGCCAUGAGCUGUAAGGAAGUGAAUGAGUGGAGCUGUGUGGCACUGGGUCUUACAGCCCAUGCGCAGUGGUUACCACCUCCUGUGCUAACUGGACAACUUAUUAGACACUGGUGACAGGCGGAUGGCAAAUAAGCCUUGAACAGGAAAGACUCCCAGAUUCUGUCACAUGUGUAAACAUAAGUUCUUGCCUUACAAAUGCUCUGUCCUGCCCUCAGGUUGGCUGAUGAAGGAGUUUGCAGUCUCUUCUGCUACAAAUUUCAAAGAAGCCCAGCUGUCUGAAGGGAACUGUGAAACCACAUGUGCUACUACCUAGCAGAUGAAGGGGGUUCUAGUUCCAAUUAUCUCAGAGACUUCCGGGGGAGGCGUCAGCAGAGACAUCUUGAGAAUUACUGCUCCCUUACAUGUUGACAGUUUCCGCAGAAGGAAAGAUUUCCAAAGCACAGUGAGAGGAGAAAGUACUUCUAUAAUACUUCAAAUAUGAACUUUGAAUACAAAUAUUGUGAUUUUAAGGCACAAAUAUUGUAAUUUUAAGGCUCUUCAAGUAUUUGUUCCUUUUAAUCAGCUUGAGUGUAUCCUGGCCAUGUGAAGAAAGUAGAACUUGGAGUCACCAAUCGAGAUGUCUAAUUCUCCAUAUUUUCCAUACGACGACUUCCAAAAUUUAAUACUAAAAAAAUGGAGGAGGAGGAGGAGUUGGGGGUAGGGAGAAGAGAAUGAGAAGAAAAAGAGAAGGAGAAGGAUUAAGAAAACAGGGAGGAAAGCUAGAAGAAGGCAACAUCUGGACCAAUAUACAUCCUAGGCAUCCAUUAUCUUUUUCUAAAUAAAAUUGGCAUAUCUAGGUCUCAUCUAUUUAUUUACUACCAAAUACAUGUGAAAUAUAUUUUACCAAACUGGAUAUCUUACAGGUUUUAUCUUAUAUACCUAUCUCAGAAAACUGAUAGUUUAUAUAAUUACUUGUUUUUUUCCACAUUUCUUAUUUAAUUAUGAUUUCCUUAAAGAUGAAAAUUGCCCAUUAUUCAUAUUUGAAUCUUUAGCCCAUUUCUUCUAGAUGAUAUUAUUGGUACCCACCUAUCAUUCUUGUAUCUCCAAGUUGGUAAUGUGAUUUUGCACUUCUUCCCAUGAUGUUAUCACUAAACCCCUUGACUUUGGGCUAACUGUGUGACUUUUAUUGGCUAAAAAAAAUGAGAUUGAGGUAAUAUAGACAUGUUUGAAGACUAGGUCUUCAAAGGUCUGUGUCUCUGCUUCCCCUUUUGUGCAGUUUGCAUCAUCCUGAUAAGAGUUUUCCCCAGGAAACUGCAGUACCUACAUCUUGGCUGUAAAAAUGAAGGCACAAGGCAAAGGCCAGAGGUAAGAAUUCAGUGUGGAGCCAGUCAGGACCAAUGAACCUCUUCCCAACUUGAAGCACAGGAACAAUAUUAAACAAUUGAUUAAUAUUGUUGAGUUUUGAAGUGAUUUAGCAGUAAUAUCCAACUCAACCCUAUAGCUAGUCCAACCCUAUUCCUAGAAAAGUGCCUGGCAUCGAGUAAAAGUUCCUUAAUGGUUAUAGUAGCAAAAUAAUGGGAGAUCUAAUAUAUCUUUCAA
Ictidomys tridecemlineatus (thirteen-lined ground squirrel) is the source of this 2404-nucleotide non-coding RNA. The record is from RefSeq and is a predicted model, not a curated record. NCBI's taxonomy places the organism in Eukaryota, Metazoa, Chordata, Mammalia, Rodentia, Sciuridae.